AAUUAUUGAACGCCUUAGAGAAUUGACACGAUUGCGCUUGUUGGAUAUCAGCUGUAAUAGGAUAUCUAGAAUUGGCCAUGGUAUGUGUUUUAGCUUCUCAUAUGAUCUUUUUAUGUGUUUCUCCUUGGUUGUGGCCACAUGAUAGGUUCUUACUUUGUUCCUAUCCCCUUUCCCCCAUUUUUCAUCUUCUGAUAUGGCAAGUUCACUAUGCUUUGGAUUCUUAACUAUCUCAAGUCAUAUGAGAAACCUCAUUCAUGGAUACUUCCUGAUAAUUAUAUAUGAUUAUAUCCAAUUGAAAGAAGAUUUCUUCUUGCAUUGACUUGUGUUUUGGAUCAUCUAUUAGGAUUGGCCUCAUGUUCCUCUUUGAAGGAGUUAUAUCUAGUCGGUAACAAGAUCAGUGAGGUAUAUGGUCUUCACCGGCUUCUGAAGCUCAAGGUUUUGGACUUGUGCCACAUUCAGUUCUUCUAUAGCCACUAUACUUGGGGUUGGUGAGGCGGGUGGAAGGUUUCAGUUCUUCUAUACUAUAUAUACUUAGAGUUGUUUAGUUAAUUUAUUAUUGAUGGAGAUGGAACUGACCUAUAGGAGGCUGCACUGCUAGAGCAGUAGAGCCAGAAAACAAUAGUUGGUGGGGACAUUUAUGUUAUGCUAUCUAAUUAUUAAUCUGUGGAAAAG
This 672-nucleotide long non-coding RNA is filed under the name Zea mays. RNAcentral's name for it is "long non-coding RNA (ZMAY_LNC003241)". The record is from RNAcentral. Lineage: Eukaryota; Viridiplantae; Streptophyta; Magnoliopsida; Poales; Poaceae.